GACAGAGGGUGCAACCGUUGUUCGGAAUUACUGGGCGUAAAGCGAGUGUAGGCGGUUUGGUAAGUCGGAUGUGAAAGCCCUGGGCUCAACCCAGGAAGUGCAUUCGAUACUGUCAAGCUAGAGUAUCGGAGAGGUUGGUGGAAUUCUCGGUGUAGAGGUGAAAUUCGUAGAUAUUCGCAAGAACACCAGUGGCGAAGGCGGCUCACUGGCCCGGUACUGACGCUGAGGUGCGAAAGCGUGGGGAGCAAACAGG
Molecule: ribosomal RNA, 253 nt
Filed under: uncultured bacterium
Lineage: Bacteria
Description: partial 16S ribosomal RNA
Rfam family: Bacterial small subunit ribosomal RNA
Source: RNAcentral